Molecule: ribosomal RNA, 225 nt
Filed under: uncultured Pseudomonas sp.
Lineage: Bacteria; Pseudomonadati; Pseudomonadota; Gammaproteobacteria; Pseudomonadales; Pseudomonadaceae
Description: partial 16S ribosomal RNA
Rfam family: Bacterial small subunit ribosomal RNA
Source: RNAcentral
CACGCAGGCGGUCUGUCAAGUCGGAUGUGAAAUCCCCGGGCUCAACCUGGGAACUGCAUUCAAAACUGACGAGCUAGAGUAUGGUAGAGGGUGGUGGAAUUUCCUGUGUAGCGGUGAAAUGCGUAGAUAUAGGAAGGAACACCAGUGGCGAAGGCGACCACCUGGACUGAUACUGACACUGAGGUGCGAAAGCGUGGGGAGCAAACAGGAUUAGAUACCCCGGUA